CUGAUUAUAUUAAAGAGCCGCAGUAUUCUGACUGUGCGAAGGUAGCAUAAUAAAUUGUCUUUUAAAUGGAGGCUUGAAUGAAAGGUUGGACAAAGUAUCAUCUGUUUCUUAAAUAUUUAUUGAAUUUGACUUUCAAGUGAAAAGGCUUGAAUAAAUUAAAAAGACGAUAAGACCCUAUAAAUCUUUACAAUAAACAUGUUCUAUGUUUUAAUUUAUAAGUAUAUAAAAUAUUAAAUUUGUAUUUGUUUCGCUGGGGCGGCGUGGAUAUAUUAAUAAACUGUCUAUGUGUUAAAUCCAAUAAUUAUUGAUUAGUGAGAUUGAUCCUUAAAUAGAUUAAAAGAUUAAGAUACUUUAGGGAUAACAGCGUUAUUUUUUUUGAGAGUUCUUAUCGAAGAAAAAGUUUGCGACCUCGAUGUUGAAUUAAAGUAUCUUUAUGGUGCAGCCGCUAUAAGAGAGAGUCUGUUCGACUUUUAAUACUUUACAUGAUCUGA
Molecule: ribosomal RNA, 491 nt
Filed under: Pagurus bernhardus (common hermit crab)
Lineage: Eukaryota; Metazoa; Arthropoda; Malacostraca; Decapoda; Paguridae
Description: partial 16S ribosomal RNA
Rfam family: Bacterial large subunit ribosomal RNA
Source: RNAcentral